This is a long non-coding RNA of Syzygium oleosum, 271 nucleotides long. RefSeq lists it as uncharacterized. NCBI's taxonomy places the organism in Eukaryota, Viridiplantae, Streptophyta, Magnoliopsida, Myrtales, Myrtaceae. The record is from RefSeq and is a predicted model, not a curated record. The transcript has 3 exons.
UCUGGUCCUUAAAGAGUAUGAAGUUUAUGGAGAUGCUGUUCUUGGAAUGUAUGGAAAGAAACCAACUGUGCGUGAUGUGGCGAAGCCUUUCCUUGGUCUUUUCCAUUCAGAGCCUGGAAAGGGUUUGUGGAAGCGGAAAGCUGAUGCAGCUUUCCAGCAUUGCACUACGAUCAAGUCUUUCUUUGAGGAGACACUCGAUGCAAUUCCCAACUCUGUGUUGGACGCACCUAUUGCGGAGGUUCCGUCCGGUUCAGAAAACCCUUUCGCUAAU